Molecule: ribosomal RNA, 253 nt
Filed under: uncultured bacterium
Lineage: Bacteria
Description: partial 16S ribosomal RNA
Rfam family: Bacterial small subunit ribosomal RNA
Source: RNAcentral
UACGAAGGGGGCUAGCGUUGCUCGGAAUCACUGGGCGUAAAGCGCACGUAGGCGGCUUUUUAAGUCAGGGGUGAAAUCCUGGAGCUCAACUCCAGAACUGCCUUUGAUACUGAGAAGCUUGAGUCCGGGAGAGGUGAGUGGAACUGCGAGUGUAGAGGUGAAAUUCGUAGAUAUUCGCAAGAACACCAGUGGCGAAGGCGGCUCACUGGCCCGAUACUGACGCUGAGGCACGAAAGCGUGGGGAGCAAACAGG